Molecule: unclassified non-coding RNA, 148 nt
Organism: Callithrix jacchus (white-tufted-ear marmoset)
Lineage: Eukaryota; Metazoa; Chordata; Mammalia; Primates; Cebidae
Rfam family: Metazoan signal recognition particle RNA
About the family: The signal recognition particle (SRP) is a universally conserved ribonucleoprotein.
Source: Ensembl
GCUGGGCAUGGUGGUGUGCACCUAUAGUCCCAGCUUCUUAGGAGGCUGAGAUAGGAGGAUUGCUUGAGCCCAGGAGGUCAAGGCUGCAGUGAACUGAGAUCGCACCACUGCACUCCAGCCUGGGCAACAGAGCAAGACCCUGUCUCAA